GACGAACGCUGGCGGCGUGCUUAACACAUGCAAGUCGAACGGAAAGGCCCUGCUUUUGUGGGGUGCUCGAGUGGCGAACGGGUGAGUAACACGUGAGUAACCUGCCCUUGACUUUGGGAUAACUUCAGGAAACUGGGGCUAAUACCGGAUAGGAGCUCCUGCUGCAUGGUGGGGGUUGGAAAGUUUCGGCGGUUGGGGAUGGACUCGCGGCUUAUCAGCUUGUUGGUGGGGUAGUGGCUUACCAAGGCUUUGACGGGUAGCCGGCCUGAGAGGGUGACCGGCCACAUUGGGACUGAGAGACGGCCCAGACUCCUACGGGAGGCAGCAGUGGGGAAGAUUGCACAAUGGGCGGAAGCCUGAUGCAGCAACGCCGCGUGCGGGAUGACGGCCUUCGGGUUGUAAACCGCUUUCGCCUGUGACGAAGCGUGAGUGACGGUAAUGGGUAAAGAAGCACCGGCUAACUACGUGC
This 469-nucleotide ribosomal RNA is filed under the name uncultured bacterium. RNAcentral describes it as "partial 16S ribosomal RNA". It matches the Rfam family "Bacterial small subunit ribosomal RNA", at positions 28 to 508 of the family's 1533-position model. The record is from RNAcentral.